AUGGCAGGUUCUAGAUCGAGUGUUCAUGGAGAAAACCAUGGGGAAGAAGAUGCCCCGGUCACACGUGCCGAACUGCAGCGACUCGAGAACAACUUACUCCAAACCAUGGAAAGGAUACUUCAGGGGCGUCCUCCAGCAGGUGGUGAUAGGGUUCGACACCGACAGCACCCU
RNAcentral lists this ribosomal RNA (171 nucleotides) under Triticum aestivum (bread wheat). Its description in RNAcentral is "partial small subunit ribosomal RNA". The record is from RNAcentral. Lineage: Eukaryota; Viridiplantae; Streptophyta; Magnoliopsida; Poales; Poaceae.